GUGAAAACUCGAGGCUCAACCUCGAGCUUGCAUCGGGUACGGGCAGACUAGAGUGCGGUAGGGGAGACUGGAAUUCCUGGUGUAGCGGUGGAAUGCGCAGAUAUCAGGAGGAACACCGAUGGCGAAGGCAGGUCNNNGGGCCGCAACUGACGCUGAGGAGCGAAAGCAUGGGGAGCGAACAGGAUUAGAUACCCUGGUAGUCCAUGCCGUAAACGUUGGGCACUAGGUGUGGGGCUCAUUCCACGAGUUCCGUGCCGCAGCAAACGCAUUAAGUGCCCCGCCUGGGGAGUACGGCCGCAAGGCUAAAACUCAAAGGAAUUGACGGGGGCCCGCACAAGCGGCGGAGCAUGCGGAUUAAUUCGAUGCAACGCGAAGAACCUUACCAAGGCUUGACAUGCACGGGAAGCCACCAGAGAUGGUGGUCUCUUUGGACACUCGUGCACAGGUGGUGCAUGGUUGUCGUCAGCUCGUGUCGUGAGAUGUUGGGUUAAGUCCCGCAACGAGCGCAACCCUCGUCCCAUGUUGCCAGCGGGUUAUGCCGGGGACUCAUGGGAGACUGCCGGGGUCAACUCGGAGGAAGGUGGGGAUGACGUCAAAUCAUCAUGCCCCUUAUGUCUUGGGCUUCACGCAUGCUACAAUGGCCGGUACAAAGGGCUGCGAUACCGUAAGGUGGAGCGAAUCCCAAAAAGCCGGUCUCAGUUCGGAUUGGGGUCUGCAACUCGACCCCAUGAAGUCGGAGUCGCUAGUAAUCGCAGAUCAGCAA
Molecule: ribosomal RNA, 763 nt
Filed under: Cellulosimicrobium sp. SCS_CK
Lineage: Bacteria; Bacillati; Actinomycetota; Actinomycetes; Micrococcales; Promicromonosporaceae
Description: bacterial SSU rRNA
Rfam family: Bacterial small subunit ribosomal RNA
Source: RNAcentral